RNA transcript from Macaca mulatta (Rhesus monkey), 1423 nucleotides. It is a transcript of the gene named eukaryotic translation initiation factor 2 subunit 2 pseudogene, with no coding region annotated. The record is from RefSeq and is a predicted model, not a curated record. Lineage: Eukaryota; Metazoa; Chordata; Mammalia; Primates; Cercopithecidae.
AUGAUUUCUGGUAAACGAGGGUUGGACUGUUUGGUAGAAUCAGUUAAUAGGGAAGAAAAACAACAGGGUGUAGACACAGCCGGCGUGAGCCACCGCGCCCGACCUCCUGCAAUUUCUACUCUAUCAGGUGUCUGCCCUAUGAUUUUUUAUCUUACUAUGAGCAAGAAGAAAAAGAAGAAGAAACCUUUUAUGUUAGAUGAGGAAGGGGAUACCCAAACAGAGGAAACCCAGCCUUCAGAAACAAAAGAAGUGGAGCCAGAGCCAACUGAGGACAAAGAUUUGGAAGCUGAUGAAGAGGACACUAGGAAAAAAGAUGCUUCUGAUGAUCUAGAUGACUUGAACUUCUUUAAUCAAAAGAAAAAGAAGAAAAAAACUAAAAAGGUAUUUGAUAUUGAUGAAGCUGAAGAAGGUGUAAAGGAUCUUAAGAUUGAAAGUGAUGUUCAAGAACCAACUGAACCAGAGGAUGACCUUGACAUUAUGCUUGGCAAUAACAAGAAGAAAAAGGAGAAUGUUAAGUUCCCAGAUAAGGAUGAAAUAUUAGAGAAAGAUGAAGCUCUAGAAGAUGAAGACAGCAAAAAAGAUGAUGGUAUCUCAUUCAGUAAUCAGACAGGCCCUACUUGGGCAGGCUCAGAAAGAGACUACACAUAGGAGGAGCUGCUGAAUCGAGUGUUCAACAUGAUGAGAGAAAAGAAUCCAGAUAUGGUUGCUGGGAAGAAAAGGAAAUUUGUCAUGAAACCUCCACAGGUUGUCCAUGUAGGAACCAAGAAAACUUCUUUUGUCAACUUUACAGAUAUCUGUAAACUAUUACAUCGUCAGCCCAAACAUCUCCUUGCAUUUUUGUUGGCUGAAUUGGGUACAAGUGGUUCUAUAGAUGGUAAUAACCAACUUGUAAUCAAAGGAAGAUUCCAACAGAAACAGAAAAUGUCUUGAGAAGAUAUAUCAAGGAAUAUGUCACUUGUCACACAUGCCGAUCACUGGACAGAAUCCUACAGUAGGACACGCGACUCUAUUUCCUACAGUGCGAAACUUGUCAUUCUAGAUGUUCUAUUGCCAGUAUCAAAACCAGCUUCCAGGCUGCCACGGGCAAGCGAGCACAGCUCCGUGCCAUAGCUAACUAAUUUGCUAAUCACUGAUUUUGCAAAGCAUGUUGUGGAGAUGUGGCUGGACAGGUUUGCCAUCAGAGUGGAUAUACCAUUGUAUUAAAAACAAGAUAAAAAAGCUGCCAAGAUUUUUGGCGAGUGGUUGGUUGGUCUGAAGUCCUUGCAAGACGCUGAUGUUCAAGCUGUUGACAUACUCAUUGCCUACUUUAACACCUGUCAGAGAAAUGUCAUAUGGGGUAAGGAGGUGCUUUUUAAAAAUCAUUCAUAGACUUCUCUAAAAUGCAAGAUAAAUUAAAGUUAUUAUAACAGUGAUUCUUUCAAAA